RNAcentral lists this ribosomal RNA (500 nucleotides) under uncultured bacterium. RNAcentral's name for it is "partial 16S ribosomal RNA". It matches the Rfam family "Bacterial small subunit ribosomal RNA", at positions 30 to 523 of the family's 1533-position model. The record is from RNAcentral.
AUUGAACGCUGGCGGCAGGCCUAACACAUGCAAGUCGAGCGGAUGAGAGGGGCUUGCUCCAUGAUUCAGCGGCGGACGGGUGAGUAAUGCCUAGGAAUCUGCCUGGUAGUGGGGGACAACGUUUCGAAAGGAACGCUAAUACCGCAUACGUCCUACGGGAGAAAGUGGGGGAUCUUCGGACCUCACGCUAUCAGAUGAGCCUAGGUCGGAUUAGCUAGUUGGUGAGGUAAAGGCUCACCAAGGCGACGGUCCGUAACUGGUCUGAGAGGAUGAUCAGUCACACUGGAACUGAGACACGGUCCAGACUCCUACGGGAGGCAGCAGUGGGGAAUAUUGGACAAUGGGCGAAAGCCUGAUCCAGCCAUGCCGCGUGUGUGAAGAAGGUCUUCGGAUUGUAAAGCACUUUAAGUUGGGAGGAAGGGCAGUAAGUUAAUACCUUGCUGUUUUGACGUUACCAACAGAAUAAGCACCGGCUAACUUCGUGCCAGCCGCCGCCGUAA